GAGAAGCGAGCCUGCGAAGGCAAGCGGAUCUCUUAAAGCUGUUCUCAGUUCGGACUGCAGUCUGCAACUCGACUGCACGAAGCUGGAAUCGCUAGUAAUCGCGGAUCAGCACGCCGCGGUGAAUACGUUCCCGGGCCUUGUACACACCGCCCGUCACACCAUGGGAGUUUGUAACGCCCAAAGUCGGUGGCCUAACCUUUAUGGAGGGAGCCGCCUAAGGCGGGACAGAUGACAGGGGUGAAGUCGUAACAAGGUAAC
Molecule: ribosomal RNA, 258 nt
Filed under: uncultured bacterium
Lineage: Bacteria
Description: partial 16S ribosomal RNA
Rfam family: Bacterial small subunit ribosomal RNA
Source: RNAcentral